AUCCGCGCAAGCGGUGGAUGAUGUGUUAAUUCGAUGCAACGCGAAAACUUACCACCUUUGACAUGUACGGAAUCCUUUAGAGAUAGAGGAGUGCUCGAAAGAGAACCGUAACACAGGUGCUGCAUGGCUGUCGUCAGCUCGUGUCGUGAGAUGUUGGGUUAAGUCCCGCAACGAGCGCAACCCUUGUCAUUAGUUGCUACAUUCAGUUGGGCACUCUAAUGAGACUGCCGGUGACAAACCGGAGGAAGGUGGGGAUGACGUCAAGUCCUCAUGGCCCUUAUAGGUGGGGCUACACACGUCAUACAAUGGAUGGUACAAAGGGUCGCCAACCCGCGAGGGGGAGCCAAUCCCAUAAAGCCAUUCGUAGUCCGGAUCGCAGUCUGCAACUCGACUGCGUGAAGUCGGAAUCGCUAGUAAUCGUGGAUCAGAAUGUCACGGUGAAUACGUUCCCGGGUCUU
RNAcentral lists this ribosomal RNA (458 nucleotides) under uncultured Acidovorax sp. RNAcentral describes it as "bacterial SSU rRNA". It matches the Rfam family "Bacterial small subunit ribosomal RNA", at positions 919 to 1382 of the family's 1533-position model. Lineage: Bacteria; Pseudomonadati; Pseudomonadota; Betaproteobacteria; Burkholderiales; Comamonadaceae. The record is from RNAcentral.